UCUGGGAGCCUCCCCUCUGGAAUUGGGCUGUUUCAGGUCCACUUUUCCAGGAGGUUCUUGCACAUGAAAAGAGGGAGCAUUUUAAUCACAAAUCACUCCAUGCCAUCUCCUGGGUCCCCAGAUGCGCUGGAGGGAUGGGAGCCUUCGUUCGUGCUCACGAAAGGCUGCAUCGGAGUUUUCCUGUAAAACUGUUGUUUUCUCUAAAAUGGGGAGAUGUGCCCUGACUUGACCGUCUUUGGCAGGAAGCAGAACAUUCCGGUAGUGGAGUAACCCAAAAGGCAAUGUCUCCAUCAAGCCGAGGAGGUCUGCGGCUGUCCGUCCAAGGCCCUCGCUCACGGCUGACACGUGCAGCCUGACUGCAGACGGCCCCGAGCCCGCCGCCCGGCGAGGAGACGAGGAGGCCCGUCCAGCAAGCACGGAGCCGUGGCCGAGGGGCGUCUGCUCUGCUGGUUCCAGUCCGAGCCAGAAGGGCGUUCAGAGCAGAGAGACUUUAUUUAAAGAACCCGAAAGGUUAAACCACUCAGUGUUCUGCAGAGUUAAAUCAGAGGUGUGUUUAGCAGUCUAGGCAAGUUUGACCUGGGCCGUAUGGGUCUCAUAAUCUAUCCUACACUCUGACGUCUCUUGAUUCCAGAAUAUACAUCAAAAUGCUGAGCAGGGAGCGGAAACCAUGAACCCACAUCUCUGGAGGCCGACCCCGUGCCAUGCGUCCUCCAUAUGCAGCUCCCAGACCUCCCAGAACUCGGGGAGGGGAGGUUGUUACUGUCCCUCCCUCACAGAUGGGGACACUGAGGCACAGGAGGGGGGAGCCAGUGGCCUCAGGCGGCACAGCGGCCGGGGGCGGAGUGGGACUCUGGAGCCACGCUGUGACCCCGGCCUCCAAGCUGCCUUCCCGUCGGCCUCCCGAUGAGUCUGAAUCUGCAUCUCCGGCCGCGGUCUCGCUCCUGGGCUCUGCUCUUUGCUCCUCUGGGCCUCGGACGGGUCUCCUCCGAUACCUCUGUUACUGCAGACUCAGCGGGUCUAAAACUGACCCUGACCUUCACCAUGGAAGGGCCACCCACUCGUCCUACUCCAGAGGACCCUGAGAUCAGACGGGCGAUGGGCCCCACCCGAGGCCCCGGCCACUCGUCCCGGGCUGUGUCCCCACAUUGCCGCCUGGAGCCUGCGACCCACACAGAUGCGCAGCCGCCAGCGUACCCCUGCUGAUCUGAACCACCAAGCCCUGACAUGUAAAAAGAUCGGCAUCACUCCCAUUCUUACCACAAGAAAAAUCCUGAACAACCUGAAGAUCGAUGGCUUUUCUCGGACACGUCAGAGAACUGGGGUCAAAGGGCAAACCAUCAGAAGGUGCACUGUCCCGGUGGCACUCGGACAGCACGGCUGGUGGGCUGUGACUCCCAACGCAGAUGAGAAUAGCCCCGCGGGGACCAGAUGCUGAGCAGUGCUUUACCACCACGGUCUCGGUUGGUGGGGCUGUGGACGGCCUGAGCCUUUGAGCUCAGGCCACUGUGCCCAGCCCUUUCAUCUGUUCGAUUCGAUGCUAAGUCUGCCCUGAGCUAGGGACGCGGCGGGGAAA
Long non-coding RNA from Balaenoptera ricei (Rice's whale), 1573 nucleotides. RefSeq lists it as uncharacterized. The transcript is spliced from 4 exons. The record is from RefSeq and is a predicted model, not a curated record. Lineage: Eukaryota; Metazoa; Chordata; Mammalia; Artiodactyla; Balaenopteridae.